RNAcentral lists this ribosomal RNA (468 nucleotides) under uncultured bacterium. Its description in RNAcentral is "partial 16S ribosomal RNA". It matches the Rfam family "Bacterial small subunit ribosomal RNA", at positions 28 to 507 of the family's 1533-position model. The record is from RNAcentral.
GACGAACGCUGGCGGCGUGCUAAACACAUGCAAGUCGAACGGAAAGGCCCUGCUUUUGUGGGGUGCUCGAGUGGCGAACGGGUGAGUAACACGUGAGUAACCUGCCCUUGACUUUGGGAUAACUUCAGGAAACUGGGGCUAAUACCGGAUAGGAGCUCCUGCUGCAUGGUGGGGGUUGGAAAGUUUCGGCGGUUGGGGAUGGACUCGCGGCUUAUCAGCUUGUUGGUGGGGUAGUGGCUUACCAAGGCUUUGACGGGUAGCCGGCCUGAGAGGGUGACCGGCCACAUUGGGACUGAGAUACGGCCCAGACUCCUACGGGAGGCAGCAGUGGGGAAUAUUGCACAAUGGGCGGAAGCCUGAUGCAGCAACGCCGCGUGCGGGAUGACGGCCUUCGGGUUGUAAACCGCUUUCGCCUGUGACGAAGCGUGAGUGACGGUAAUGGGUAAAGAGGCACCGGCUAACUACGUG